Molecule: ribosomal RNA, 164 nt
Filed under: uncultured bacterium
Lineage: Bacteria
Description: partial 16S rRNA
Rfam family: Bacterial small subunit ribosomal RNA
Source: RNAcentral
UAGGGAAUCUUCCACAAUGGGCGCAAGCCUGAUGGAGCAACACCGCGUGAGUGAAGAAGGGUUUCGGCUCGUAAAGCUCUGUUGUUAAAGAAGAACACGUAUGAGAGUAACUGUUCAUACGUUGACGGUAUUUAACCAGAAAGUCACGGCUAGCUACGUGCCAG